Molecule: unclassified non-coding RNA, 329 nt
Filed under: soil metagenome
Description: partial contains 5.8S ribosomal RNA, internal transcribed spacer 2, and large subunit ribosomal RNA
Rfam family: 5.8S ribosomal RNA (bases 1-120)
Source: RNAcentral
GAUGAAGAACGUAGCGAAAUGCGAUAAGUAGUGUGAAUUGCAGAAUUCAGUGAAUCAUCGAAUCUUUGAACGCACAUUGCGCCCCUUGGUAUCCCGAGGGGCAUGCCUGUUCGAGCGUCAUUUCACCACUCAAGCCUGGCUUGGUGUUGGGCGACGUCCUCUUUGGGGACGCGCCUCGAAACGCUCGGCGGCGUGGCACCGGCUUUAAGCGUAGCAGAAUCUUUCGCUUUGGAAGUCGGGGCCCCGUCUGCCGGAAGACCUGCUCGCAAGGUUGACCUCGGAUCAGGCAGGGAUACCCGCUCAACUUAAGCAUAUCAAUAAGCGGAGGA